AUUGAACGCUGGCGGCAGGCUUAACACAUGCAAGUCGAGCGAGCGGCGGACGGGUGAGUAAUGUCUGGGAAACUGCCUGAUGGAGGGGGAUAACUACUGGAAACGGUAGCUAAUACCGCAUACCAUCAGAUGUGCCCAGAUGGGAUUAGCUAGUAGGUGGGGUAAUGGCUCACCUAGGCGACGAUCCCUAGCUGGUCUGAGAGGAAGACCAGCAAAACGGGAACGGCGACACGGUCCAGACUCCUACGGGAGGCAGAAGUGGGGAAUAUUGCACAAUGGGGGAAAGCCGGAUGCAGACAGGCCGCGUGUGGGAAGAAGGCCUUCGGGUUGUAAAGCACGUUCAGCGAGGAGGCGUUACUCGAAGAAGAAGCACCGGCUAACUCCGUGCCAGCAGCCGCGGUAAUAC
RNAcentral lists this ribosomal RNA (406 nucleotides) under uncultured bacterium. RNAcentral's name for it is "partial 16S ribosomal RNA". It matches the Rfam family "Bacterial small subunit ribosomal RNA", at positions 29 to 526 of the family's 1533-position model. The record is from RNAcentral.